Molecule: long non-coding RNA, 3118 nt
Filed under: Triticum aestivum (bread wheat)
Lineage: Eukaryota; Viridiplantae; Streptophyta; Magnoliopsida; Poales; Poaceae
Description: long non-coding RNA (TAES_LNC020427)
Source: RNAcentral
UCCGAUCUAUCAUCGUCGGCACCCCUGUGGUGAGCAGCCGCUCCCCAAGCCUCGUAACCAUGUCUGUUUUCCUCGCCGUAGUAGCCUUCCUGUCCGUGCCCACAUGCCAUGGCUUCCAUGGAAGCAGGCUCCAAUGCUUGUGCUUGGGUUCUCCGACCGCUCCUUGUUGCACCACACACGCACGCGCCCGUAGCCCCCGCAUGCAUCUGCACCCGCGCGCACACCCUGCCUGCUUGCCGCUCGCUCGCCGCGCCAUGCUCGCCCAUGCAUCGCUGUGCGCCGUAGCCGAGACGAGCUCCAGCUCAACGUUCGAGGUCCGGCCUCUUUCUUCUGCUCCCCACAUGUACGCGCAUACCCAUGCAUGUUUCCGCGGCCCCGCCGUCUACCUGCAGCCACUGGUGUUGGCUCCCGUCGCCGGCCAUGUCCACCGUGCGUCCAUGGGGAAGAAGGCCUGGCUUUUGUCACUUCAACAAUAGAAACGCUUCUCCGUGUUCACAUAGGCAGCAGCAGCGGAGUGGCUCUGGCUACAGAGCUGUACCCAGACGACCAGGGAUCAAAUCCCCACGGGCACAACACUUUUACAUCAAUUUGGCUCACCCAGAUCAAGCUCUUGACUCUUCAUGUUCAGCUGAGCUCCUCUGUUACCACCAACACGCCCCUGUCCUAGUGGUCUUCAAUUUGUGCUUUCAUCUAGUAGGUCCUGGGUUCGAGUCCCAGGCGCCUAGUUUUUGCACUAUUUUCCGUUCUGCACACACCGUCACUCGGGCCAAAUUGGGCCGCUGCAGGAUCCUGCAAUUCGGCCCGAUCGUGUUUUUUUUAUCAGUCAUGCGUUUUGCUAUUUGUCUACUGCAUUGCAUAUUUAAAGGAUUGCCAUUGUUUUCCAUUAUUUGUAGCUAAAUAUCCAUGCAUCCAAAUGAAACUUGCCAUAUAUGCAUCUUGCUUAGAUUUUCAUGUUCUUUAUCAGUAUGCAACUUUCACCCUUGUUAAAAUGUUUAAAAUGUUGUUUGAGUAAAUUUGCUUAAAUGCCAUGCUAAAAUGAUUUAAAUCACUACUAAAUAACCGUAGCUCCAUUUUAAACAAACUUUAUAUGUAAGUGGGGUAGAAAAAUGCCUAGUUUAACUUGGUGGCAUCACUUUGCAUGUUUAACAACUAUAAAAUUGUGUUUAGGACAGAACAAUACCAAUUCUUAAUAUGCACAUGAGGAUUUUCCGGACUUGUUGUUUGUUGUUCUGGCCUCAUUUAAACUUGCCUAGAUAGGUAGUUUUCUUUUGCUUCACCUCUUGCCAUGUUAAUCAACAUGUAAUGUGGUUGAGUACAUAAACGGGAGAGAACUAAAUAAGUCACGUGGUGUUUCGUCAAUAUGCAACUCGUUGCAUAUUGAGCUCCACUUAAUUUGUAGGAUUGUUUGUGCACUUUGUCAUGCCAUGCAUAUUUAAACCGGACAUGCAUCAUACUUGUUUGUGCAUCAUGCCAUGUUUUGUGAUGGUUGUUUACUAUGUUGUUUGCUUCUUUUUGGUGUUGCUUCUUCGGGUUAGUUUCGAUAACGUCGCGUUUGUGUGGAUUCGUUCGACUACGUCCGCUUGUCUUCUUCAUGGACUCGUUCUUCUUCCUUGCGGGAUUUCAGGCAAGAUGACCAUACCCUUGAAAUCACUUCUACCUUUACUUGCUAGUUGCUCGCUCUUUUGCUAUGCCUAUGCUACGAUACCUACCACUUGCUUAUCAUGCAUCCCAUAUUGUUAAGCCAAGCCUCUAACCCACCUUGUCCUAGCAAACCGUUGUUUGACUAUGUUACCGCUUUGCUCAGCCCCUCUUAUAGCGUUGUUAGUUGCAGGUGAAGAUUGAAGUUUGUUCCUUGUUGGAACAUGGAGAUGUUGUUCCUUGUUGGAACAUGUUUACUUGUUGGGAUAUCACAAUAUAUCUUAUUUAAUUAAUGCAUCUAUAUACUUGGUAAAGGGUGGAAGGCUCGGCCUUAUGCCUGGUGUUUUGUUCCACUCUUGCCGCCCUAGUUUCCGUCAUAUCGGUGUUAUGUUCCUGGAUUUUGCGUUCCUUACGCGGUUGGGUAAUAAUGGGAACCCCUUGACAGUUCACCUUGAAUAAAACUCCUCCAGCAAUGCCCAACCUUGGUUUUACCAUUUGCCACCUAGCCUUUUCUUUCCCUUGGGUUCUGCAGACUCAAGGGUCAUCAUUAUUUUAACCCCCCGGGGCAGUGCUCCUCUUAGUGUUGGUCCAAACUGUCAGCCGCCGGUGGCCACCAGGGGCGGGAUUUGUCGGCACAUUCGGGCGGUGUUGCUGGACUUGUUUUACCAUUGUCGAAAUGUCUUGUAACCGGGAUUCCGAGUCUUAUCGGGUCUUCCCGCUAGAAGGAAUAUCCUUCGUUGACCGUGAGAGCUUGUCAUGGGCUAAGUUGGGACACCCCUGCAGGGUUUUGAACUUUCGAAAGCCGUGCCCGCGGUUAUGGGAAGAUGGGAAUUUGUUAAUAUCCGAUUGUAGAAAACCUGAAGUUGACCUUAACUAAAAUGCACCAACCUCGUGUGUUACCGUGAUGGUCUCUUCUCGGCGGGGUCCGGGAAGUGAACACGGUGUUGGAGUAAUGCUUGACGUAGGUUGUUCUAGGAUCACUUCUUGAUCAUAGUUGUCCGACCGUGCUUUUGUCUUCUCUUCUCGCUCUCUUUUGCGAAUAGGUUAGCCACCAUAUAUGCUAGUCGCUUGCUGCAGCUCCACCUCAUACCUUGUACCUUACCCAUAAGCUUAAAUAGUCUUGAUCGCGAGGGUGUGAGAUUGCUGAGUCCCCGUGACUCACAGAUACUUCCAAAACUAGCCUGUAGGUGCCGUUGAACUGUGGAGAUGACGCUACCAAGCUCAAGGAGGAGCUCGAUGAAGAUCUUGUCCUUUGUGUUUUUCGUUCUAGUUGAUCAGUAGUGGAGCCCAAUUGGGGUCGAUCGGGGACCUUGUCGCUUUUGGGGUUUUUCUUUUAUUUUGGCUCCGUAGUCGGGCCCUGGUUGUACUUGGAUGAUGUAAUGCUUUAUUCAUGUAAUUGUGUGAAGUGGCGAUUGUAAGCCAACUAUGUAUAUUUCUCCUUAUUGUAUUACAUGGGUUGUUUGUGAAUAUUACCUCACUU